RNAcentral lists this ribosomal RNA (1103 nucleotides) under Periplaneta americana (American cockroach). RNAcentral describes it as "bacterial LSU rRNA". It matches the Rfam family "Bacterial large subunit ribosomal RNA", at positions 1475 to 2587 of the family's 2925-position model. Lineage: Eukaryota; Metazoa; Arthropoda; Insecta; Blattodea; Blattidae. The record is from RNAcentral.
CAGGAGGAUAAGCGAACCGGGGAAAGGGAAUACCCGGGUAAGGUCAAAGUCAAGAUAGGCAGGCAAAACCGUCUAUUGAUGAUGAAGGCUGAUACGGACUGAAUAUUAGUAGGGAAGUCGCCGAAUCCACACUGCCAAGAAAAGCUGCUAUUGUUUUAUACGUACCCGUACCGUAAACCGACACAGGUGGGCGAGGAGAAAAUCCACAGGCCGGCGGGAGAAGUGUUGUUAAGGAACUCGGCAAAAUGACCCCGUAACUUAGGGAGAAGGGGUUCCGUAGAGAUACGGACACAGAGAAGAGGCUCAAGCGACUGUUUAUCAAAAACACAGGUCUCUGCGAAACCGAAAGGUGAAGUAUAGGGGCUGACGCCUGCCCGGUGCCGGAAGGUCAAAGGGAGAAGUCAAGAUUAAAUCUGAAGCUUUGAACUCAAGCCCCAGUAAACGGCGGCCGUAACUAUAACGGUCCUAAGGUAGCGAAAUUCCUUGUCAGGUAAGUUCUGACCCGCACGAAAGGCGUAACGAUUUGAGCGCUGUCUCAACAAUGCAUCCGGUGAAAUUGAAGUGCCAGUGAAGAUACUGGUUACCCGCAGCAGGACGGAAAGACCCCAUGGAGCUUUACUGCAGCUUAAUAUUGGGAUUUGGUAUUGUAUGUACAGGAUAGGUGGGAGACUAGGAAGCCGAGACGCAAGUAGCGGUGGAGUCAACGUUGGGAUACCACUCUUACAAUACUGGAUUUCUAACCUACGGCCAUAAGCUGGCCGGGGGACAGUGUUAGGCGGGCAGUUUGACUGGGGCGGUCGCCUCCGAAAGAGUAACGGAGGCGUUCAAAGGUUGCCUCAGAAUGAUUGGAAACCAUUCAAAGAGUAUAAAGGCAGAAGGCAGCUUGACUGCGACCGCGACGGUGGGAGCAGGUACGAAAGUAGGACUUAGUGAUCCGGUGGAAAGCAAGUGGAAGCGCCAUCGCUCAACGGAUAAAAGCUACCCUGGGGAUAACAGGCUGAUCUCCCCCAAGAGUUCACAUCGACGGGGAGGUUUGGCACCUCGAUGUCGGCUCGUCGCAUCCUGGGGCUGAAGAAGGUCCCAAGGGUUGGGCUGUUCGCCCA